RNAcentral lists this unclassified non-coding RNA (674 nucleotides) under Hevea brasiliensis (rubber tree). Lineage: Eukaryota; Viridiplantae; Streptophyta; Magnoliopsida; Malpighiales; Euphorbiaceae. The record is from RNAcentral.
GGGAACUUCCUCAUCUGUUGAUCCCAAAGAGAAAAAAUCAUCUUUAGAUGAGGAAGUUGGAAAAGAAUUUCUUGGCUCUUGGAAAUCACUUUCAGUGACAGGAGAUGAGACAAUGGAUUUUAGUUUUGAUACAGUUCCAAGUGGCAAGAGAAAGACAUUCAACUUUGAUAAACUGGAUAUGGAUUUUAAUCUAGAUGGUGAUUUUGACAAGUUAACGUCCUUCAAAUUAGACAUGCCUGACCUUGAUUUCUCAUCCCCAUCAAAAAAGACUGCAAAACCCAAAGAAAGUUCUAAAGGAGAGUCUUCUAGAGCAAAUCAUCAAGGAAAACAAGAUUGCUUUACCUUUUCUUUUGAUUUUAAUGAGUUGGAUAAUUUCAAUUUUGAUUCAACCUUGAUUCAAGGAGAGAGAAAAGCUUCUGUGAAGAAUCCAGACUGCAAAGGGGCUGAUUCAGAUAGGAAUGAACAUCAGGGCUCAAAAGUUAACCCGGCUGGUGGACCAGAUGCCUUUGAUGAUAGCCAAACCAACAAACUUCAUGCAUCAGAGAAUGCAACUUCUUCAAUUGUUGAGACUACUGUCGAUGGUGCAGGGCCAGGCAAUUCUUCAAAUGGCAAUUUCCCUUCAAAAUAUGGAAAUUUUGAAAAUCUGGUUGUGCCACACAGCACAAAAACUUCAU